AUCUCUCUCUCUCUCUCUCUCUCUCUCUCUCUCUUUCUCUCUCUCUCUCUCUCUCUCUCUCUCUCUCUCUCUCUCUCUCUCUGCGACCAUUUUCAAACACCACAGAGACGAUUAGCCAUGUUCUAAAGAGUGUUCUGUUUGUUGAUAAUGCACAAACCUUGUUAAUCUGGCACUAAUAUAAGAAAUGUCUUUUAAAAACCUGUGUCACUUCAACUAGAGCCCGCAGAGGUGAUGUGCCGAGUUCUAAAACGUAUUUAUCCCGUUCAUAAUAAUGCAGAGAAACCUUGCUAAAAUGUCGCUAGAAUAAAAAAAAUGUCUUUAAAAACCCGUGUCACUUCAACUAGAGAGCAAAGAGAUUAUUAGCAGAGUUGAAAAGAGUGUUUGUCCCGUUAAUAAUGCAGAAACGUUAUAAAAAGUGUCACUAAUCACAGAAACGCCUUUAAAUACCCGUGUCACUUCAACUAGAGAGCAAAGAGAUGAUUAGCAGAGUUCUAAAGAGUGUUUGUUCCGUUGAUAAAACACAAAACUUGUUAAUUUGGAACUAGAAUUACAGAAACGCCUUUUAAAUACCCGUGUCACCUCAACUAGAAACCACAGAGAAGACUAGCCGAGUUGAAAAGAGUGUUUGUUCCGUUGAUAAUGCAAAAACCUUGUUAAUUUGGCACUAAAAUUACAGAAACGCCUUUAACAACCAGUGCCACUUCAAUUAGAGACCACAGAGACGAUAAGCCGAAUAAUUACAACCGUUAUCAAUCAAAAGACGAUACUCAUUAAAAGGAAAAAGAAAAAUGAGAUAAUAAAUUAAGUAAAGAAAAUAGGAAAUAAGAAAAAGAUAGUCAACGGUUGCCAUUUUCCACAGUCUGCCUUUCCUGAGAAGUGUAAGCAAGACAGAGCUAAACAGAGCCACAUAGAGCCACGCAGAGCCACGCAGAGCCAAGCAGAGGCACACAUAACCAUCAGCCUCAGUGUAACAUCUCAUAAUGAAUUGUUUGUCCCUUUUUUUCCCUUUUUUGUGGCCAGAUUUGCAUGACCCGGGUAUUCCAUUCACGUCGCUGUGCUCAAGCUAAUGCCAUGCCACGCCACGCCCCCGCCCCGCCCCGCCCCGCCCGCCACAACACAGUGCUAUACUCAAUUCUGAACACAUGAGUCAGAAAAAAAAGUUACAAAGAUAGAAGAAAAAAUAGAAAGAAAAGAAAAGAAUAUGUAAAAUUAAAGUUUGUCUCAAUUAAAGUUUAAAAAUGAAGCUUCGAAAAAUGUGACAAAUUGAAGGAAAAAAAAAAAAAAAAAGAAGAAAGUCACAAGGAUACACACACAAAAAAAAAAAAAUAUAUAUAUAAAUUGGAGUUUGAGUUAAAAAAAAAUGUCUAAAAUUAAAGUUGUAAAAUGUGACAAAUUGAAGGAAAAAAAGCUUAAUAUCACGGGGAAAAUAAUAACUGUUUGUGUUUUCAUGUUUUUCUCGUAUGAGUAUUCGUAUUUAUAUUAUUUUCAAACUUUGGACGAUAAGUAUUGACUAACACGGUCCUAUAAUGAAGAGUGUUCCGUAAUUCCCCUACUGUGUGUUGUAAAAAGAAAAAGACCAAUAAAUUCUAAUGAAAAAAACAAGAAAUAGCCAUGAAAUUUUUAGAAACGUUACGAUAAAGAAAGAAAAAGUAAAUAAAAGAUGCAGAAAUAUUUAGAAGUCAGUGAACAAAUAAAAAAAUAAAUAAAGAUGCAGAAAUAUUUUAAAUCAGUGAACGAAGAAAAAAAUAAAUAAUAAGAGGUGGAGAAAUAUUUUAGAAGACUCAGUGAACGAAGAAAGACAAAAUAAAUAAAAGAUGCAGAAAUAUUAAGAAGAGACAGUGAACAUGUUAUUGGUCGAAGCAUUGAAGCUGAGUGAGCAAGCUUAAGCGUUACAGCAGCAGGCAAAACACUGUGCACCGCUAAAGUAGAUAUACAAGUAGGAAUAGUGAAAAUAAAUAGAGAAAAUAAAGAAUCGAAAUAAAAAAAACACAAAAAAAGUUAUAUAAAGUAAAAGAAUUAUAUAAACUUUGCAAAAUUUUGUCAUACGUUAAAUUUACAAAGGAAGAUACAAAAGUUACGUUAUUUGCUGAAAGAGUCGAGAAGAAUAACACCUCAAUGAAUAAAUAGAUAAAUAAAUAAAUAAAUAAACAGGUGAAUAAGUAAUAAUAAAAGUAAUAAUGAUAAUAAAACCAAACAAAAUAUUUUCAUUAUCGGAAUAAAAUGAUGGAAUAAAAACAUAGAAAAAAAAAUUAAUUACAAGGAUAAAAAAAAAAUAGUAAAGGAAAAAAAAAUUGAAGACUUAAAAACAUCGUAAAAUUUAUCACUGUGGGAAAUAAAGACGAAGAAAAAUAAUUACAUGGAAUAGAAAAAAUAGAAAACAAGAAAAAGAUUAUAUAAAAAAACAUCGAAAAAAUAAUCACUGUGGAAAAAAAACGGAAAAAUAAAAUAAUUAGCCACUCCCACAAACACUUCCCCAUGAAAAAAAAAAAAAAAUAAAUAGAAAUAAACAAAACCAAACAACAACAAACAACAACAACAAAAUUCCAGCCCAGUGUACACGCGGCAACCUUGAACCAUACACGUAUGAAACGAAAUUGUGCCUUUAUUUAUGACGCUCACUGUAAAUGCCCCUAGAACCCUGACACCCCCCGUGCCCCCUCACCCCCUGCCCCUAAAACCCUCACACCACCAGCCCCUUCCCUGACUCCACCACAACUACUCCAAAAACGUUUCCCAGAGUCUCCAAAACGCAACGAAAUUCCCUAAAAAAUAUUCGGGUAAAAAAAAACGUUUACUAGAAUCCUAAAAGUCCCAAGAAACGUUUCCCAGUCUCCAAAAAUGUUACGAAAUUCCCUUCUUCCCCCCCAAAAAAAAAUAUGCGGGUCAAAAAACGUUUAUCAGAAUCCUAAAAACGUUUCCUCAAAGCCCAAAAAUGUUUCUCACUCUCUCCAAAACGCCACGAAAUCCUAAAAAAAUAUUCGGAUAAAAAAAAAACGUUUAUCGAAAUCCUAACAUUUCUUAAAAGCCCCCCCCAAAAAAAAACGUUUCCCAGUCUCCAAAACGUUACGAAAUUCCCCCCCCCAAAAAAAAAUGCGGGUAAAAAAAAAAACGUUUACUAGAAUUCUAAAAAGGAACUCAAUGUCCAUAAACGUUAACCAAAGUCCCCAAACUGUACUAGAAUGCCAUAUCAAAACGUUUUUCUAAUGAUGAACUUCGCACUCAUGCCCCAAAACUUUCUAGAAAACCCUAAAAUAUUACCUUACCCCCCAAAAAAAAACGUUUCACAUGCCUACCAACCUUUCCUGCCCCCUCCCCCCCAUCACCCCAUACGAGUCCCACACCACCACUCCUACACCCUUCUCACCCCCUUCCUCCCCCUACUGGUCCUUUCCAACACCCUAAAACGUUAUUUUCACCCCAAAAAACGUUUCACAAGCUUACAAACUUUCCUCUCUCCACUUCCCAUCACCCAUGCGAGUCCCACACCACCCUACACCCCUCUCUGGUCCUCCCCAUCACCCCUUCCUUGUCAUCCCCGCCGCUACACCGAACACAGAGAUAUAUUGAAGAGAAAUGAACGAAUAAUGAGAAAUAACAACAACAACUGCCCGCUACGUGAUUCCAAAACGAAAUAAUCAAAAUGAAAACCAAAAAAAUGUGAAAUGAGUUACGAUUUUGUUUUUAGCUUACAAACAUACAUACAUACAAAACCUGGUUGAUUUUCUUUUUUUUUUUUUCCUUGCUUCCUAUCCUUCCAACAAAUAAACGAAUAAAAUAGAUAAAUAAAUAAACCCCUUAAAAUUUACCUCAUUUAAACCUCACCCAACACCACAAAAAUAGAAGUAAAAAAUGAAAAUACUAAAAAAAAAAAACCUUAUCCUACUUUGAAAAGCAUACAACCAUCUCGCGUUUUCUUUGGACGGUCUAAUUUUUAAGGGAUAACUGAAGCAGAGUUUUAUCUGUGUAUAUUAUCACUUAACUAGGAUUAGCUUAUCAACGUGUGUGUUAUUGAUGUAUUUUUUAUAUAUAUAUUUAUUUCUCUCUCUCUCUCUCUCUCUCUCUCUCUCUCUGUUGAAGUAUUACCGGUGUUACUUUAUAGAAAACGAGAUGAAGAUCUAACAUUAGUCUUUAUAUUAUGCACUCCUGUGUUCCUGACUGCUGGGUAUUAAAAUAUUGAUGAUGUUUGUAUAAAUCUGGUCUUAUUCUGUCUCUAAUUAGUUUCUCUCUCUCUCUCUCUCUCUCUCUCUCUCUCUCUCUCUAAAAAGGUAUUUGUACAGCGAGGUAUUUCUUAAUAAAUAUAUUCCGAUUCAG
Molecule: long non-coding RNA, 4311 nt
Organism: Portunus trituberculatus (swimming crab)
Lineage: Eukaryota; Metazoa; Arthropoda; Malacostraca; Decapoda; Portunidae
Exons: 2
Source: RefSeq, a predicted model, not a curated record